ACUCAAAUGAAUAGACGGGGGCCCGCACAAGCGGAGGAACAUGUGGUUUAAUUCGAUGAUACGCGAGGAACCUUACCCGGGCUCAAACGCAGAAGGAAUGUAAGGGAAACUUUACAGCCGCCAGGCCGUCUGCGAGGUGCUGCAUGGUUGUCGUCAGCUCGUGCCGUGAGGUGUCGGCUUAAGUGCCAUAACGAGCGCAACCCUUAUUGUUAGUUGCCAGCGGGUAAUGCCGGGGACUCUAGCAAAACUGCCAGCGUAAGCUGUGAGGAAGGUGGGGAUGACGUCAAAUCAGCACGGCCCUUACGUCCGGGGCGACACACGUGUUACAAUGGGAGGUACAGAAGGUUGCUACCACGCGAGUGGAUGCUAAUCCCAAAAGCCUCUCUCAGUUCGGAUCGAAGUCUGCAACUCGACUUCGUGAAGCUGGAUUCGCUAGUAAUCGCGCAUCAGCCAUGGCGCGGUGAAUACGUUCCCGGGCCUUGCACACACCGCCCGU
This 496-nucleotide ribosomal RNA is filed under the name uncultured bacterium. RNAcentral's name for it is "bacterial SSU rRNA". It matches the Rfam family "Bacterial small subunit ribosomal RNA", at positions 899 to 1397 of the family's 1533-position model. The record is from RNAcentral.